CUGAACGGUGAUAACUUACCGUUUGGAAGCUUGUGAAUGUUUUUUAUUAGCCAUUCAAACAGGCUGGCAAAGUUGCAAUUGCACACCCAGGGGUUGCCCUCUAAUCUCACCACCCGCAAGGAGGGCAACUGACUCAGAGCCCCCACUUUUAGGCUGGACAGUGCAUUGCGUUCCAGUUCCAGUUCUCGCAGAGAGGUGAGGCCUAGGAAGGCGUCCUCGCUCACCAUGCUCAGUGCACAACAACAUGCUGUAAGAGCAUAGCAGAGCUCAGCGUUCCUCUGUCCAGCACCAUCUUAAGGCUGUUUGAGAGAGAAUCCAAACGUCCAGGCGGGAGCGUUGUGGGUGCAGGCUCCAGUGCUGAGCGGGCACACAGCCAUGCCAAUCCAACGUCUGCUGCUGAGUCUCCCACGGUUUAUCUCAUACCCUCUUCUUAUUUCCAGAGGGGGCGUGCCUAAUGUAACGCUGUCAACAUAUGAUGUCACUUCCUAGUGUGACAAGAAAUGAUGAUUGAAUCUCAAAAUAAAAAAUUAAUUAAAGAA
This is a long non-coding RNA of Nothobranchius furzeri (turquoise killifish), 539 nucleotides long. RefSeq lists it as uncharacterized. Lineage: Eukaryota; Metazoa; Chordata; Actinopteri; Cyprinodontiformes; Nothobranchiidae. The record is from RefSeq and is a predicted model, not a curated record.